CAUUUCAUUGACAAGUCCUGCGGCGCAGCCAGUGUCAGGGGAGGUGAUGUGCUUGGGGCAGGCAGGAGCAGACUGCUUGUGAAGAGCCCUAGGAACUGCCGCAUGCAGCUAAAGAUUCAUUCUCAGGCAAUAGGAAACUAUUGGAGUAUCUCAGGCAGUGAUAGGCGUGAUUUGGUUCAGGUUUUCACAAGAUACUCAGCAUGCGGAGUGGCGGCUACGGGGAAAAUAUGACGGUGGUGGAGGCCAGGAGGCAGGGAGGCUGCUGGAAGGUUUUAACUCUUUCAAAAGGAAGAGUUGGAGCAAGAAAGAGUGACUCAGACCGGAAACCUUGCCAGUGGGGUGAGAUGUGUGGGGUCUGUGCCUUGUACACUAAUGCAAGUGCAGCAGUCAGCUCAGAGCGCAGCCAUUAAGGACUAUGAUGUGUGUUGGGCACUGUGCGACCCUAAAGGUGUCAUUUAUGUUGGCAAUUGUGUUAGUGGUGCUCCUACUCUAUACUCCGAAGAACCAUUCACAGUGGCCUACACCUAGAGACAGUGUGUUCUGGAUCAGACUGACACUCAAGCUGUCCUGAUUUUAUAAGCAGAACUGGGAGCUGGAAUAACCCAAGUCAGUGUUUUCUAAGAUAUAGUUUAUGGAUGAUUCAUAGUUAUUCUUUUGGACUGUAUGUUCUUGGAGGGCAGGACUUGUUUGUUUUGUCCUCUAUCGUUUCCCCUGUGAAAGCUGGAUGUUUGGCACAUAAUAAGAAAUCAAUAAUUACGUUUUGAGAUAAUGAGCUAAGUGCUAUCAAAUAGGUUUGAGAAACGUUACCUUAAACAAGCUUCCUAGUCCAGGACUCCUUAUGGACUUUGAUACACAAAUGUAAGGAGUGAAUCUGUGAGAAGAGGAAUACAGGAGACAAUGUUCUCUAACCUAGCUCAACACCUUAGUCACUGAGUGCUCACAGGCAUGUUGUUAAUCUACUGGGUCCAUCAUGGAAAUGUAUUUCUUGUUGAUCAUGGUCAAGAAAACUUAAAAUUCCCAUUUGUGGAAAGAAAGUCCAUGAGUUUUUGUUGCUGAAUUUCUAGAGCUUCCUUGUCUCUUGCUCUUUGGACACCUGGCUAUUUGACCCCUACUUCAUUCUGUAAGCUCUCUAGUAUCCUUUCACUGUACCCCCCUGUCUUGCUUCAAUUAAUCUUACUUUGUUGCAACUGUGUCGAUUACACUUCUCCAUGUAAGUGAUUCCAUGCUUCUAUCUGGUCCUCCAUUUGUCAGGAAUCUUUUAACUGCUGGUCACAGAAACCACUCAAACCAGCUUGGGUACAAAAAGACAAUUUACUGGUUUUGUAAUUAAAAAGUCUGUCAUUUCCUGAAGCUAAAUCAUCACAUUUCUGGUUCUUGUUUCAUCUCUCUGACAUCUAUCUUCGCAUGGAA
This 1410-nucleotide long non-coding RNA is filed under the name Vulpes vulpes (red fox). Its description in RNAcentral is "lncRNA (ENSVVUG00000025309.1)". Lineage: Eukaryota; Metazoa; Chordata; Mammalia; Carnivora; Canidae. The record is from RNAcentral.